Long non-coding RNA from Megalobrama amblycephala (Wuchang bream), 2350 nucleotides. RefSeq lists it as uncharacterized. Lineage: Eukaryota; Metazoa; Chordata; Actinopteri; Cypriniformes; Xenocyprididae. The transcript has 2 exons. The record is from RefSeq and is a predicted model, not a curated record.
UGAACGAAGGUCUUACGGGUGUAGAACAACAUGAGGGUGAGUAAUAAAUGACAUUAUUUUCAUUUUUGGGUGAAUUAACCCUUUAAGUUUUAGUCUGGUUUUGACAUCAAAACAUAAAUGGACUGUAAUCAGACGAAUCUUUUCCUGAAAAUAAGAACAAUGAUUUUACAAGACUUUACACGUUGUCGGUAAUGAAGCAUCUACUGUAAAUGUAAGAUUGUGCAUGUAAACGCACUCAGUUAAGCAGUUGUCAUCUCUAAGAAAGGUCACUUGCCUAGUUGGUAUGUCCUUAAUAAAUCAAUAUAUAUUUCUGACAUACUACCUCACUGCUAUCUGAAGUUGUUAAAUAUAGUAAUUACUGAGUCCAAAACAAAUUUAUUGUUGACCCAUUUGGCCGAAGCAUUUGAGGUAGAAGUUUGCAUUGCACAAUUCAUUAUAAACCCAAUGUUUUGCUUAGCAUCUCGAAUUUCGUAUUUUUUUGCACUUCACCUUUGUUAUCUAAGAGCCAAAUUUGCUCUUUGAACAUCAUGUAUCUUUAGGUCUGGUCAGACUAGUAGACAAACUGACCUUUAGUACUGAUGGACCCAUAAUAGUGUCACUAAGAUAAAACACGAGACAGUAUAAAGCUGAUUUGAGGUGGGUAUCAGAUGCUUGUUUGUUCAUACUUUCCAUUGUGUUUCCUGCCAUAUUCAUAGUCUAAACCCUGCUGGUUGACAUUUUUCUCUCGUUUUUCUUUUUGCACCCUAAUUAGGGAUUCUGGUGGAGAACUAUAUAGGAAAGAAGGCCAUCAGUUGGAUGUGCUGAUCUGGCGUUUCUCAUACUCCGACUGUUUGUCUGCCAUCUAGCUGAUGUAAGACCAGCCCGUGGCGUGACAUACUGAAACUUCCAGGCAGUAUGAUGGAGUUUUGGAGGACCGUAAAACCAACGGUGUAGCAGAUAUGAGCAGACGGGCCGAUGCAAAUGAUUGGGCGAGCUGGCUCCCCCCGUCCCCUGUGUCUGGUUAUUGAUUGGUUAAUGCAGGAUGUCAGCGAGUCCGUUCGAGAGCGACGCCCUCUCUCCCCCCGACCAUUUAUCAGCACGCCAUCAGCUCUCCACGGAAGAGCAGCGCAUCAGGAUGAAUGCUAAUCAAUUCAGUGGAGAGAGAGAGAAAGACGAGAUGCGGGGUGUGAGAUUAGAUGAGAGGAGGAGAGAGGAUAUGAGACGAGAGGCGAGCUAAGGUUCUUAACCCUUCACCUUGUCCUAACACAACCUAUGUUUCCCACAGAUGUCUGUGUAUAGCUUAAAUAUGGCUCAGAUGUUGAUGUUUUUGAUGUCUGACAGUGCUGUGCAGGGACAUUUAUUCCUCAGUGCCACUGUGAAAACAAAUGCUAAAAAGGAUGCAAAAUUAUUUCUCUUUCUGUUGUUUUGUAUAGCCAUUUUGUCCAAAACUCCAAUUAAAGGUUUGUUUACCACUCUGCGGUUGGUCGCUAAUAAGAAAUUAGCAAACUGGAUGAUUUACAGCAUUGCACAAGAAGUUGCUUUUAUGCUAAAGCUAUUAGCAAUUAAAUAAAUACUGGUAGAGGCUAAAGGCUAAUUUCUUCCUGCUCUGAUUUGAUCUCCAAACGGUCUUAUUAAUUCACCUUGUGGUGCAUCGGUAACAGUCAAAUAAACAGAUGUGUGUGUGUGUGUGUGUGUGUGUGUGUGUGUGUGUGUGUGUGAGAGUGUGGUUGAGUUGGCUGUAGGAGGUUGUUAGCGUGCUAAUCUGAGGGUAUAGUGCAUAUAACGUCAUGUCCGCUAAUCUGGCCUGCAUGUGCGUGUAUCUAGGUCAGAUUCUUCCUACAUUAUCCCUGGAAUGACACCAAUCAGAGAGCCUGAGAGAGACCGACUGAGGGUGAGACAAGUGGCUAGACAGAAACAGGCAGAAAGGGAGAGAGACAGAAGAGAGAAAGAAAAGCUGAAAGAGAGACUGACAGACAGAGGAAGAGAGAAAGAAUAAGACAGACAGGCAUAAACUGACAGAUAAGACAAGCUGAGAGACAGACAGGAAGAGAAAUGGAAAUAAAGACAAAGAGGCAGGCAGAAAGAGAAACAGAAAGAGACAGACAGAAAGACAGGCCAAGAACCAGAAUGUGAGAGAAAGACAGGCAGAGAGGGUGAAAGAUAUAAAGAAAGAAAAGCUGAGAGAGACAGACAGUGAAAUAAAGGGAAAAGAGAUGGAUAUACAGUGGUGAUCAGAAUUAUUGACACCCUUGGUAAAUAUGAUCAAAGAUGACUAUAAAAAUAAAUCUGCAUUGUUUAUCCUUUUGAUCUUUAAUUAAUAAAAUGAGCAAAAAUCUAACCUUUCAUUGAAGGAAAAGAAUUGAAAGUGGGG